This 1262-nucleotide ribosomal RNA is filed under the name Chetogaster sp. AUS051. RNAcentral's name for it is "partial 28S ribosomal RNA". It matches the Rfam family "Eukaryotic large subunit ribosomal RNA", at positions 120 to 1225 of the family's 3401-position model. The record is from RNAcentral. Lineage: Eukaryota; Metazoa; Arthropoda; Insecta; Diptera; Tachinidae.
UUUGUCUUUAUGGCAAAUGUGAGAUGCAGUGUAUGGAAUGUCAAAUUUCUAGUAUGAGAAAUUAAUGAUUUAAGUCCUUCUUAAAUGAGGCCAUUUACCCAUAGAGGGUGCCAGGCCCGUAUAACGUUAAUGAUUACUAGAUGGCAUUUCCAAAGAGUCGUGUUGCUUGAUAGUGCAGCACUAAGUGGGUGGUAAACUCCAUCUAAAACUAAAUAUAACCAUGAGACCGAUAGUAAACAAGUACCGUGAGGGAAAGUUGAAAAGAACUCUGAAUAGAGAGUUAAAUAGUACGUGAAACUGCUUAGAGGUUAAGCCCGAUGAACCUGAAUAUCCAUUAUGGAAAAUUCAUCAUUAUGAUUUUAAUAUAUUAUAAUAAUGGUGUGCAUUUUUUCUAUAAAGGACAUUGUAAUCUAUUAACAUAGAGUAUUUAUCAUAAGAUCGCAAAAGUUUAUUCAAAUUAUUUUGCUUGCAAUUUAACAUAGAAUAAAUGCAUUUGAUUUGAUAAAGUGUUGAUAGAUUUUAUAUAUAGUGCUUAAAUAAUAUUUUAUAAUAUCGUAUUAAUCAUUGAUUUUUAUGAUUAUUAUAUGCACUUAUAUGAUUAACAAUGCGAAAGAUUCAGGAUACCUUCGGGACCCGUCUUGAAACACGGACCAAGGAGUCUAACAUAUUUGCAAGUUAUUGGGAAAAAACCUAAUAGCGAAAUUAACAUAACUAAUUGGGAUUAAUUUUUAGUAUACUAUUAAUUCAAUCCCGGGGCGUUCUAUAUAGUUAUGUAUAAUAAUAUUUAUAUUAUUUAUACCUCUAACUGGAGCGUACCUUGAGCAUAUAUGCUGUGACCCGAAAGAUGGUGAACUAUACUUGAUCAGGUUGAAGUCAGGGGAAACCCUGAUGGAAGACCGAAACAGUUCUGACGUGCAAAUCGAUUGUCAGAAUUGAGUAUAGGGGCGAAAGACCAAUCGAACCAUCUAGUAGCUGGUUCCCUCCGAAGUUUCCCUCAGGAUAGCUGGUGCAUUUAAAAAUUAUGUAAAAUAAUCUUAUCUGGUAAAGCGAAUGAUUAGAGGCCUUAGGGUCGAAACGAUCUUAACCUAUUCUCAAACUUUAAAUGGGUAAGAACCUCACCUUUCUUGGUAUGAAGGUCGUGGUUGUGAUAUAAUGUGCCCAGUGGGCCACUUUUGGUAAGCAGAACUGGCGCUGUGGGAUGAACCAAACGUAAUGUUACGGUGCCCAAAUUGACAACUCAUACAGAUACCAUGAAAGGCGUU